UCCAGCUCCCAAUAGCGUAUAUUAAAGUUGUUGCAGUUAAAAAGCUCGUAGUUGGAUUUCGGAAGGUCCUUAGCAAUCCGCCCCUUCGGGGAGCGGGUUGCUGGCCUCCUAUGUUCCUAACGGUCCUCAUCCGCGAGGGUGGGGAAUCAACCGCUAGGAUCGUUUACUUUGAGGAAAUUAGAGUGUUCAAAGCAGGCGUAACUCGCCUCCGAAUACGUUAGCAUGGGAUAAUGGAAUACGACUUCGGUCUUGUUUCGUUGGUUUCGCUUGGCUGAAGUAAUGAUUGAUAGGGACAGUUGGGGGCAUUAGUAUUUAGUUGUCAGAGGUGAAAUUCUAGGAUUUACUAAAGACUGACCAAUGCGAAAGCAUUUGCCAAGGAUGUUUUCAUUAAUCAAGAACGAAAGUAGGGGGAUCGAAGACGAUCAGAUACCGUCGUAGUCUCUACCGUAAACUAUGCCGACCAGGGAUCCGGAGAGUUUGCAUGGAUGACUCCCCGGGCACCUUGUGAGAAAUCAUAAGUGUUUGGGUUUUGGGGGGAGUAUGGUCGCAAGGCUGAAACUAAAGGAAUGACGAACGWACCCUCMCCAWUC
This 590-nucleotide ribosomal RNA is filed under the name uncultured eukaryote. RNAcentral's name for it is "SSU rRNA". It matches the Rfam family "Eukaryotic small subunit ribosomal RNA", at positions 586 to 1186 of the family's 1831-position model. The record is from RNAcentral.